AUUGCUUCUCGGCCUUUUGGCUAAGAUCAAGUGUAGUACUCAUGAAACUAUAAUUUAUACAGUGUUUGUAUCAAUUUGCACUUCUACCAGCAGUAAAUGAGAAUUUCAACCCCUUCACACAUUUACCAGCAUUU
Molecule: small nuclear RNA, 134 nt
Organism: Heterocephalus glaber (naked mole-rat)
Lineage: Eukaryota; Metazoa; Chordata; Mammalia; Rodentia; Bathyergidae
Gene: U2
Rfam family: U2 spliceosomal RNA
About the family: U2 is a small nuclear RNA (snRNA) component of the spliceosome (involved in pre-mRNA splicing).
Source: Ensembl